UACAGAGGGUGCAAGCGUUAAUCGGAUUUACUGGGCGUAAAGCGUGAGUAGGUGGCUCGCUAAGUCGAUUGUGAAAGCCCUGGGCUCAACCUGGGAAUUGCAGUCGAUACUGGAGAGCUCGAGUUCGGUAGAGGGUGACGGAAUUCCCGGUGUAGCGGUGAAAUGCGUAGAUAUCGGGAGGAACAUCGAUGGCGAAGGCAGCCCCCUGGGCUAACACUGACGCUCAUGCACGAAAGCGUGGGGAGCAAACAGG
This 253-nucleotide ribosomal RNA is filed under the name uncultured prokaryote. Its description in RNAcentral is "partial 16S ribosomal RNA". It matches the Rfam family "Bacterial small subunit ribosomal RNA", at positions 524 to 776 of the family's 1533-position model. The record is from RNAcentral.